CGGGAAUUUUGGGCAAUGGGCGAAAGCCUGACCCAGCAACGCCGCGUGAGGGAUGAAGUAUUUCGGUAUGUAAACCUCGAAAGAAUGGGAAGAAUAAAUGACGGUACCAUUUAUAAGCUCCGGCUAACUACGUGCCAGCAGCCGCGGUAAUACGUAGGGAGCAAGCGUUGUUCGGAUUUACUGGGCGUAAAGGGCGCGUAGGCGGCGCGGUAAGUCACUUGUGAAAUCUCUGAGCUUAACUCAGAACGGCCAAGUGAUACUGCUGUGCUAGAGUGCGGAAGAGNCAACCGGAAUUCUUGGUGUAGCGGUGAAAUGCGUAGAUAUCAAGAGGAACACCUGAGGCGAAGGCGGGUUGCUGGGCCGACACUGACGCUGAUGCGCGAAAGCCAGGGGAGCAAACG
RNAcentral lists this ribosomal RNA (401 nucleotides) under uncultured bacterium. Its description in RNAcentral is "bacterial SSU rRNA". It matches the Rfam family "Bacterial small subunit ribosomal RNA", at positions 356 to 774 of the family's 1533-position model. The record is from RNAcentral.